GAUGAAGAACGUAGCGAAAUGCGAUACGUAAUGUGAAUUGCAGAAUUCAGUGAAUCAUCGAAUCUUUGAACGCAUAUUGCGCUCUCUGGUAUUCCAGAGAGCAUGCUUGUUUGAGUAUCAGUAAACACCUCAACUCCCUUUUCUUUUUUGAAAUUGGAGCUGGACUUGAGUGAUCCCAACGCUUUCUUCCAAGAAAGUGGCGGGUUGCUUGAAAUGCAGGUGCAGCUGAACUUUUCUCUGAGCUAUAAGCAUAUCUAUUUAGUCUGCCUAAAAAACAGAUUAUUACCUUUGCUGCAGCUAACAUAAAGGAGACUAGUUCUUGUGCUGACUGAUGCAGGAUUCACAGAGACAGCUUCGGCUGACUUUGUAAACUCGAUCUCAAAUCAAGUAAGACUACCCGCUGAACUUAAGCAUAUCAAUAAGCGGAGGA
RNAcentral lists this unclassified non-coding RNA (430 nucleotides) under soil metagenome. RNAcentral's name for it is "partial contains 5.8S ribosomal RNA, internal transcribed spacer 2, and large subunit ribosomal RNA". The stretch from base 1 to 120 matches the Rfam family "5.8S ribosomal RNA", at positions 35 to 154 of the family's 154-position model. The record is from RNAcentral.